GAUGAACGCUAGCUACAGGCUUAACACAUGCAAGUCGCGGGGCAGCAUGGGGGUUGCUUGCAAUCCCCGAUGGCGACCGGCGCACGGGUGAGUAACGCGUAUCCAACCUGCCCUUCACCACGGGAUAACCCGGCGAAAGUCGGACUAAUACCGUAUGUUGUCCAUUGACGGCAUCCGAUCUGGACGAAAGGUUUGGCGGCGAAGGAUGGGGAUGCGUCCGAUUAGCUGGACGGCGGGGUGACGGCCCACCGUGGCGACGAUCGGUAGGGGUUCUGAGAGGAAGGUCCCCCACACUGGAACUGAGACACGGUCCAGACUCCUACGGGAGGCAGCAGUGAGGAAUAUUGGUCAAUGGGCGUAAGCCUGAACCAGCCAAGUAGCGUGCAGGAUGACGGCCCUAUGGGUUGUAAACUGCUUUUAUGCGGGGAUAAAGUGGCCCACGUGUGGGUUUUUGCAGGUACCGCAUGAAUAAGGACCGGCUAAUUCCGUG
This 490-nucleotide ribosomal RNA is filed under the name uncultured bacterium. RNAcentral describes it as "partial 16S ribosomal RNA". It matches the Rfam family "Bacterial small subunit ribosomal RNA", at positions 28 to 507 of the family's 1533-position model. The record is from RNAcentral.